UAAGGAAUAUUGGACAAUGGGGGAAACCCUGAUCCAGCCAUGCCGCGUGAAUGAAGAAGGCCUUAGGGUUGUAAAGUUCUUUUAGCUGUGACGAUAAUGACGGUAACAGCAGAAAAAGCUCCGGCUAACUCCGUGCCAGCAGCCGCGGUAAUACGGAGGGAGCGAGCGUUGUUCGGAAUCACUGGGCGUAAAGCGUGCGCAGGCGGCUUGACAAGUCGGAAGUGAAAGCCCGGGGCUUAACCUCGGAAUUGCUUUCGAAACUGUCAGGCUAGAGUCCCGGAGAGGUAAGCGGAAUUCCGAGUGUAGAGGUGAAAUUCGUAGAUAUUCGGAGGAACACCAGUGGCGUAAGCGGCUUACUGGACGGGUACUGACGCUCAGGCACGAAAGCGUGGGGAGCAAA
RNAcentral lists this ribosomal RNA (400 nucleotides) under uncultured bacterium. RNAcentral describes it as "bacterial SSU rRNA". It matches the Rfam family "Bacterial small subunit ribosomal RNA", at positions 355 to 772 of the family's 1533-position model. The record is from RNAcentral.